CCCGGCAGCCUGCCGAUGCAUUUCCCUCCACCGCGUAGAACCGCACGACGUCCUCAAAUGGCGCGCGUCAAGAACAAGCGCCACCGUGAGUCAUCAUUCUGUCCUUCACUCGAGUCAUCAAUGUCCAGAAAUCAUUAACUAAUUCACUAAUUCUCAAGUCCAGAGCAGUACUUUUCAGAGGUUUUCCGGUAGAAGCGGCAUCCGACUUCAACAACGUCGUGGAGGCCUUUGGUUACGAUGAGUUACCGUACGUCGGAGGCGUAGCUUCUCGAACCAAGGUCGUUGGUCGGGUUUUCACGGCCAACGGAUCACCGUCGGACCGGCAGAUCCCUUUUCACCACGAAUUGGGCCAGGUACUCAUUGUACUCUGUCCCACAUUUUUGGGCCUUUUGAUUUUAGGGACUUGUACAAGAUCUUUCUGAUUAAUAUCUAUGAAUGGAAAUUGAUUACUUAGUAGCAUCGUUUAAUUUGUAGCUCUGAAUUAUCAAUGUAAUUAAGGGGUUUGAUCUCUGAAAUGACUUAGGUUCGUUCGAAGUACUUGAAAGGAUGUAGAUUGAUGAUUUGAAAUCAUGUUAAAAUGCAUAGAAAUUACAUAUUCUCUGAGAAAGGAAAUCAAGUUACUUGAAAGGAUGAAGAUUGAUUUCCACGAUAAUCAAAUUUGUUUCGCUGCAUGAUAAUAGAGCCUAUGAACAAUUGGUCUUACUAUAACCUACACGUUCUUGCCUUAUAUCAAACAUUUUUGCACCUAACCUUUUCUCUCUACUGUCUUGUGUGUUCCAUCAUAUAUUAGUUCAAAAUGCUUUGUUUACAGUUUGAACAAGAACUUCACUUAUCAAGUCGGUUUAACAUACCUAAACUUUCUCCGGGGCUUGAGGAUUGUUGGGAGGGAGUCCUACGUUAGCUAAUUUAGGUCAUGAUCAUGGUUUUAUAAGUAAGGAAUACAUCUCUAUUGGUACGAGGCUUUUUGGGAAAGCCCAAAGCAAAACCAUGAGAGCUUAUGCUCAAAGUGGACAAUAUCAUACCAUUGUGGAGAUCCGUGAUUUCUAACCUAGCUAAGUUGGAGUGGUUAAAAGAUGGAGUGAAAACAGUAAUGGGUCCAAUCCCAGCUAUCAAGUAUGAUGAAGUACCACAGUGCGAAAUUUGGUUUAACAGCAUGGUUGCAGCUAACACCGGCUGGGAAGAUGCGAGGAAUGUCCUGCGAAGGCCGUAACGUAUCGGGACGGUACGCCAUUGCCAGCUGAUAUCAUCAAUGGCUGCUUGAGAAUUCUGGAACAGGAGUCUCUUUCCAUUCCCUGGCAGAAAGGUAAACCCAUCACGAAGUCUUGAAACUCAGGGACAUUCACGUAGGACCAAGAUUAUGGCAGUUCUGAAGCAGAUGAUUGAUUCAUUGAGACAUCAACUGAAAUCCAAUUAAUGUUGUCAUUGAAGGGGAUGAAAUAAAGCUCGUCUUGUUGUUGAAGCCUUAGCCUAAAGCGCAUCGAGGUGAAUGUCGAACAUUGUCAAAGGCUGACCCCUGCCAAACACGAUCUUGACCAUCUGGGCGACUUGGUUAGAAAACAAUAAGGUAAAUGCAAGCUCACACGGUACAAAUCGUUAAAUAUCGUAGGAAAGCUCUGACACACCUUCCCUGGUGGAAGACGAUUGACAUUUCUUCAUAAAAGUAAUGCAAUCUUAACUAAGUUCGACUCUAUACCAAUUUGAACGCUAUACUAACUUGAGUUUUAGAGUGUAUGCAGCUAAGUACCGCAUUGGUGCGAGAUUUUAUGGAAAUUUUGGAUACAGACUAGAGCUUUCUUCAAACAAGCUCUAACACACAUUUCCUUAAAACAA
Long non-coding RNA from Cucurbita pepo subsp. pepo (vegetable marrow), 1830 nucleotides. RefSeq lists it as uncharacterized. Lineage: Eukaryota; Viridiplantae; Streptophyta; Magnoliopsida; Cucurbitales; Cucurbitaceae. The record is from RefSeq and is a predicted model, not a curated record.